Molecule: ribosomal RNA, 1664 nt
Filed under: Salmonella enterica
Lineage: Bacteria; Pseudomonadati; Pseudomonadota; Gammaproteobacteria; Enterobacterales; Enterobacteriaceae
Also listed under: 1 other name
Description: partial 23S ribosomal RNA
Rfam family: Bacterial large subunit ribosomal RNA
Source: RNAcentral
CGGCCUGCGCGGAAGAUGUAACGGGGCUAAACCAUGCACCGAAGCUGCGGCAGCGACACUGUGUGUUGUUGGGUAGGGGAGCGUUCUGUAAGCCUGUGAAGGUGUGUCGUGAGGCAUGCUGGAGGUAUCAGAAGUGCGAAUGCUGACAUAAGUAACGAUAAAGCGGGUGAAAAGCCCGCUCGCCGGAAGACCAAGGGUUCCUGUCCAACGUUAAUCGGGGCAGGGUGAGUCGACCCCUAAGGCGAGGCCGAAAGGCGUAGUCGAUGGGAAACGGGUUAAUAUUCCCGUACUUGGUGUUACUGCGAAGGGGGGACGGAGAAGGCUAUGUUGGCCGGGCGACGGUUGUCCCGGUUUAAGCGUGUAGGUGUGUGUUCCAGGUAAAUCCGGUUCACUUUAACACUGAGGCGUGACGACGAGGCACUACGGUGCUGAAGCAACAAAUGCCCUGCUUCCAGGAAAAGCCUCUAAGCAUCAGGUAACAUCAAAUCGUACCCCAAACCGACACAGGUGGUCAGGUAGAGAAUACCAAGGCGCUUGAGAGAACUCGGGUGAAGGAACUAGGCAAAAUGGUGCCGUAACUUCGGGAGAAGGCACGCUGACACGUAGGUGAAGUGAUUUACUCAUGGAGCUGAAGUCAGUCGAAGAUACCAGCUGGCUGCAACUGUUUAUUAAAAACACAGCACUGUGCAAACACGAAAGUGGACGUAUACGGUGUGACGCCUGCCCGGUGCCGGAAGGUUAAUUGAUGGGGUCAGCGCAAGCGAAGCUCCUGAUCGAAGCCCCGGUAAACGGCGGCCGUAACUAUAACGGUCCUAAGGUAGCGAAAUUCCUUGUCGGGUAAGUUCCGACCUGCACGAAUGGCGUAAUGAUGGCCAGGCUGUCUCCACCCGAGACUCAGUGAAAUUGAACUCGCUGUGAAGAUGCAGUGUACCCGCGGCAAGACGGAAAGACCCCGUGAACCUUUACUAUAGCUUGACACUGAACAUUGAGCCUUGAUGUGUAGGAUAGGUGGGAGGCUUUGAAGUGUGGACGCCAGUCUGCAUGGAGCCGACCUUGAAAUACCACCCUUUAAUGUUUGAUGUUCUAACGUGGACCCGUUACCCGGGUUGCGGACAGUGUCUGGUGGGUAGUUUGACUGGGGCGGUCUCCUCCUAAAGAGUAACGGAGGAGCACGAAGGUUGGCUAAUCCUGGUCGGACAUCAGGAGGUUAGUGCAAUGGCAUAAGCCAGCUUGACUGCGAGCGUGACGGCGCGAGCAGGUGCGAAAGCAGGUCAUAGUGAUCCGGUGGUUCUGAAUGGAAGGGCCAUCGCUCAACGGAUAAAAGGUACUCCGGGGAUAACAGGCUGAUACCGCCCAAGAGUUCAUAUCGACGGCGGUGUUUGGCACCUCGAUGUCGGCUCAUCACAUCCUGGGGCUGAAGUAGGUCCCAAGGGUAUGGCUGUUCGCCAUUUAAAGUGGUACGCGAGCUGGGUUUAGAACGUCGUGAGACAGUUCGGUCCCUAUCUGCCGUGGGCGCUGGAGAACUGAGGGGGGCUGCUCCUAGUACGAGAGGACCGGAGUGGACGCAUCACUGGUGUUCGGGUUGUCAUGCCAAUGGCACUGCCCGGUAGCUAAAUGCGGAAGAGAUAAGUGCUGAAAGCAUCUAAGCACGAAACUUGCCCCGA